RNAcentral lists this non-coding RNA (29 nucleotides) under Rattus norvegicus (Norway rat). Lineage: Eukaryota; Metazoa; Chordata; Mammalia; Rodentia; Muridae. The record is from RNAcentral.
UGGACUGGUGAACAUGAUGUGCCACUAGG